AUCCMGCAAUGCCGCGUGAGUGAAGAAGGCCUUCGGGUUGUAAAACUCUUUCAUCAAUGAAGAUAAUGACAUUAAUUGAAGAAGAAGCUCCGGCUAACUCCGUGCCAGCAGCCGCGGUAAUACGGAGGGGGCUAGCGUUGUUCGGAAUCACUGGGCGUAAAGCGUAUGUAGGCGGAUCAAAAAGUUAGAUGUGAAAUCCCUGGGCUCAACCCAGGAACUGCAUUUAAAACUAGUGAUCUAGAAUUUGGUAGAGGUUAGUAGAAUUUCCAGUGUAGAGGUGAAAUUCGUAGAUAUUGGAAAGAAUACCAGUGGCGAAGGCGACUAACUGGGCCAUUUUUGACGCUGAGAUACGAAAGCGUGGGUAGCAAACAGGAUUAGAUACCCUGGUAGUCCACGCAGUAAACGAUGAGUGCUAGUCGCUGGGUCAAUAGAUUCGGUGUCGAAGCUAACGCAUUAAGCACUCCGCCUGGGAAGUACGGUCGCAAGAUUAAAACUCAAAUAAAUUGACGGGGGCCCGCACAAGCGGUGGAGCAUGUGGUUUAAUUCGAAGCAACGCGAAGAACCUUACCAGACCUUGACAUGGUGUGUUUGAAUUACAGAAUCGUAAUUCUUCAGUUCGGCUGGCACACACACAGGUGCUGCAUGGCUGUCGUCAGCUCGUGUCGUGAGAUGUUGGGUUAAGUCCCGCAACGAGCGCAACCCUCAUUUUUAGUUGCCAUCAGGUNAUGCUGGGCACUCUAAAAAAACUGCCGGUGAUAAGCUGGAGGAAGG
This 771-nucleotide ribosomal RNA is filed under the name uncultured Alphaproteobacteria bacterium. RNAcentral's name for it is "bacterial SSU rRNA". It matches the Rfam family "Bacterial small subunit ribosomal RNA", at positions 386 to 1173 of the family's 1533-position model. Lineage: Bacteria; Pseudomonadati; Pseudomonadota; Alphaproteobacteria. The record is from RNAcentral.